This 398-nucleotide ribosomal RNA is filed under the name uncultured bacterium. RNAcentral describes it as "partial 16S ribosomal RNA". It matches the Rfam family "Bacterial small subunit ribosomal RNA", at positions 360 to 776 of the family's 1533-position model. The record is from RNAcentral.
AAUAUUUCACAAUGGAGGAAACUCUGAUGCAGCGACGCCGCGUGAACGAUGAAAGCCUUCGGGUCGUUAAGUUCUGUCCUAGGGGACGAUAAUGACGGUACCCUAGGAGGAAGCCCCGGCUAACUACGUGCCAGCAGCCGCGGUAAUACGUAGGGGGCGCGCGUUGUCCGGAAUUAUUGGGGGUAAAGGGUUCGUGGGAGGUCUUUUAAGUCAGAUGUGAAAGGUCACGGCUCAACCGUGGUAGGCAUUUGAAACUGAGAGACUUGAGUGAAGGAGAGGAAAGUGGAAUUCCUAGUGUAGCGGUGAAAUGCGUAGAUAUUAGGAGGAAUACCAGUGGCGAAGGCGGCUUUCUGGACUUAAACUGACGCUGAGGAACGAAAGCGUGGGGAGCAAACAGG